GGAGAAAAGCAGGGGAUCGCAAGACCUUGCGCUUUUGGAGCGGCCGAUGCCUGAUUAGCUUGUUGGUGAGGUAAAAGCUCACCAAGGCUCCGAUCAGUAGCUGGUCUGAGAGGACGACCAGCCACACUGGGACUGAGACACGGCCCAGACUCCUACGGGAGGCAGCAGUGGGGAAUUUUGGACAAUGGGGGCAACCCUGAUCCAGCCAUGCCGCGUGAGUGAAGAAGGCCUUCGGGUUGUAAAGCUCUUUCAGCCGGAACGAAACGGUCACGGUUAAUACCCGUGACUACUGACGGUACCGGAAGAAGAAGCACCGGCUAACUACGUGCCAGCAGCCGCGGUAAUACGUAGGGUGCGAGCGUUAAUCGGAAUUACUGGGCGUAAAGCGUGCGCAGGCGGUUUUGUAAGUCGGAUGUGAAAUCCCCGGGCUUAACCUGGGAACUGCGUUUGAAACUACAAAGCUAG
RNAcentral lists this ribosomal RNA (465 nucleotides) under uncultured bacterium. RNAcentral's name for it is "bacterial SSU rRNA". It matches the Rfam family "Bacterial small subunit ribosomal RNA", at positions 198 to 644 of the family's 1533-position model. The record is from RNAcentral.